GAGAUGUUGGUUAAGUCCGCAACGAGCGCAACCCUUAUCCCUAGUUGCCAUCAGGUAAGCUGGGAACUCUGGGGAGACUGCCGGUGGAUAAACCGGAGGAAGGCGGGGAUGACGUCAAGUCCUCAUGGCCCUUACAUCCCGGGCUACACACGUGCUACAAUGGCAGGUACAGAGGGCUGCGAAGCCGCGAGGUGGAGCGAAUCCCAGAAAACCUGUCUCAGUCCGGAUUGAAGUCUGCAACUCGACUUCAUGAAGGCGGAAUCGCUAGUAACCGCGAAUCAGCAGGUCGCGGUGAAUACGUUCCCGGGCCUU
Molecule: ribosomal RNA, 312 nt
Filed under: uncultured Latescibacterota bacterium
Lineage: Bacteria; Pseudomonadati; Candidatus Latescibacterota
Description: bacterial SSU rRNA
Rfam family: Bacterial small subunit ribosomal RNA
Source: RNAcentral